Molecule: non-coding RNA, 81 nt
Organism: Ramaria rubella
Lineage: Eukaryota; Fungi; Basidiomycota; Agaricomycetes; Gomphales; Gomphaceae
Source: the annotation of a GenBank genome assembly
GCAUUAAUGGGGUAGUGGUAACCUUGGUCGUUGCCAUUAGGUUAUUUCGACUAGCCGCGAGUUCAAUUCUCGCUUAAUGCA